This 492-nucleotide ribosomal RNA is filed under the name uncultured bacterium. Its description in RNAcentral is "partial 16S ribosomal RNA". It matches the Rfam family "Bacterial small subunit ribosomal RNA", at positions 29 to 507 of the family's 1533-position model. The record is from RNAcentral.
AGUGAACGCUGGCGGUAGGCCUAACACAUGCAAGUCGAACGGCAGCACAGUAAGAGCUUGCUCCUACGGGUGGCGAGUGGCGGACGGGUGAGGAAUACAUCGGAAUCUACCUUUUCGCGGGGGAUAACGUAGGCAAACUUACGCUAAUACCGCAUACGACCUACGGGUGAAAGCACGGGAUCUUCGGACCUUGCGCGAUUGAAUGAGCCGAUGUCGGAUUAGCUAGUUGGCGGGGUAAAGGCCCACCAAGGCGACGAUCCGUAGCUGGUCUGAGAGGAUGAGAAGCCACACUGGAACUGAGCCACGGUCCAGACUCCUACGGGAGGCAGCAGUGGGGAAUAUUGGACAAUGGGCGCAAGCCUGAUCCAGCCAUGCCGCGUGGGUGAAGAAGGCCUUCGGGUUGUAAAGCCCUUUUGUUGGGAAAGAAAAGCAGCAGGUUAAUACCCCGCUGUUCUGACGGUACCCAAAGAAUAAGCACCGGCUAACUUCGUG